RNAcentral lists this ribosomal RNA (416 nucleotides) under Salmonella enterica. Its description in RNAcentral is "partial 23S ribosomal RNA". It matches the Rfam family "Bacterial large subunit ribosomal RNA", at positions 2387 to 2802 of the family's 2925-position model. RNAcentral also lists the same sequence under 1 other name. The record is from RNAcentral. Lineage: Bacteria; Pseudomonadati; Pseudomonadota; Gammaproteobacteria; Enterobacterales; Enterobacteriaceae.
GCGCGAGCAGGUGCGAAAGCAGGUCAUAGUGAUCCGGUGGUUCUGAAUGGAAGGGCCAUCGCUCAACGGAUAAAAGGUACUCCGGGGAUAACAGGCUGAUACCGCCCAAGAGUUCAUAUCGACGGCGGUGUUUGGCACCUCGAUGUCGGCUCAUCACAUCCUGGGGCUGAAGUAGGUCCCAAGGGUAUGGCUGUUCGCCAUUUAAAGUGGUACGCGAGCUGGGUUUAGAACGUCGUGAGACAGUUCGGUCCCUAUCUGCCGUGGGCGCUGGAGAACUGAGGGGGGCUGCUCCUAGUACGAGAGGACCGGAGUGGACGCAUCACUGGUGUUCGGGUUGUCAUGCCAAUGGCACUGCCCGGUAGCUAAAUGCGGAAGAGAUAAGUGCUGAAAGCAUCUAAGCACGAAACUUGCCCCGA